Molecule: transfer RNA, 77 nt
Filed under: Paenibacillus larvae
Lineage: Bacteria; Bacillati; Bacillota; Bacilli; Caryophanales; Paenibacillaceae
Description: tRNA-Asn
Rfam family: tRNA
About the family: Transfer RNA (tRNA) molecules are approximately 80 nucleotides in length. Their secondary structure includes four short double-helical elements and three loops (D, anti-codon, and T loops).
Source: RNAcentral
UCCCCGAUAGCUCAGUUGGUAGAGCACUCGGACUGUUAAUCGAGUUGUCACAGGUUCGAGCCCUGUUCGGGGAGCCA